RNAcentral lists this ribosomal RNA (464 nucleotides) under Vreelandella stevensii. Its description in RNAcentral is "partial 16S ribosomal RNA". It matches the Rfam family "Bacterial small subunit ribosomal RNA", at positions 338 to 795 of the family's 1533-position model. Lineage: Bacteria; Pseudomonadati; Pseudomonadota; Gammaproteobacteria; Oceanospirillales; Halomonadaceae. The record is from RNAcentral.
CCUACGGGAGGCUGCAGUGGGGAAUAUUGGACAAUGGGCGAAAGCCUGAUCCAGCCAUGCCGCGUGUGUGAAGAAGGCCUUCGGGUUGUAAAGCACUUUCAGUGGGGAAGAAAGCCUUGGGGCUAAUACCCUCGAGGAAGGACAUCACCCACAGAAGAAGCACCGGCUAACUCCGUGCCAGCAGCCGCGGUAAUACGGAGGGUGCGAGCGUUAAUCGGAAUUACUGGGCGUAAAGUGCGCGUAGGCGGUCUGAUAAGCCGGUUGUGAAAGCCCCGGGCUCAACCUGGGAACGGCAUCCGGAACUGUCAGGCUAGAGUGCAGGAGAGGAAGGUAGAAUUCCCGGUGUAGCGGUGAAAUGCGUAGAGAUCGGGAGGAAUACCAGUGGCGAAGGCGGCCUUCUGGACUGACACUGACGCUGAGGUGCGAAAGCGUGGGUAGCAAACAGGACUAGAUACCCUAUAGUC